AAAUUGAAGAGUUUGAUCAUGGCUCAGAUUGAACGCUGGCGGCAGGCCUAACACAUGCAAGUCGAACGGUAACAGGAAGCAGCUUGCUGCUUCGCUGACGAGUGGCGGACGGGUGAG
RNAcentral lists this ribosomal RNA (117 nucleotides) under Escherichia coli. RNAcentral describes it as "partial 16S ribosomal RNA". It matches the Rfam family "Bacterial small subunit ribosomal RNA", at positions 1 to 110 of the family's 1533-position model. RNAcentral also lists the same sequence under 8 other names. Lineage: Bacteria; Pseudomonadati; Pseudomonadota; Gammaproteobacteria; Enterobacterales; Enterobacteriaceae. The record is from RNAcentral.